RNAcentral lists this ribosomal RNA (492 nucleotides) under uncultured bacterium. RNAcentral describes it as "partial 16S ribosomal RNA". It matches the Rfam family "Bacterial small subunit ribosomal RNA", at positions 29 to 507 of the family's 1533-position model. The record is from RNAcentral.
AGUGAACGCUGGCGGUAGGCCUAACACAUGCAAGUCGAACGGCAGCACAGUAAGAGCUUGCUCUUACGGGUGGCGAGUGGCGGACGGGCGCGGAAUAAAUCGGAAUCUACUUUUUCGUGGGGGUUAACGUAGGGAAACUUACGCUAAUACCGCAUACGACCUACGGGUGAAAGCAGGGGAUCUUUGGACCUUGCGCGAUUGAAUGAGCCGAUGUCGGCUUAGUUAGUUGGCGGGGUAAAGGCCCACCAUGGCGAGGAACCGUAGCUGGUCUGAGAGGAUGAUCAGCGACACUGGAACUGAGACACGGACCAGACUCCUACGGGAGGCAGCAGUGGGGAAUAUUAGACAAUGGGCGCAAGCCUGAUCCAGCCAGACCGCGUGGGUGAAGAAGGCCUUCGGGUCGUAAAGCCCUUUUGUUGGGAAAGAAAAGCAGCAGGUUAAUACCCCGCUGUUCUGACGGUACCCAAAGAAGAAGCACCGGCUAACUUCGUG